UGGGGAAUAUUGGACAAUGGGCGAAAGCCUGAUCCAGCCAUGCCGCGUGUGUGAAGAAGGUCUUCGGAUUGUAAAGCACUUUAAGUUGGGAGGAAGGGCAGUUACCUAAUACGUAUCUGUUUUGACGUUACCGACAGAAUAAGCACCGGCUAACUCUGUGCCAGCAGCCGCGGUAAUACAGAGGGUGCAAGCGUUAAUCGGAAUUACUGGGCGUAAAGCGCGCGUAGGUGGUUUGUUAAGUUGGAUGUGAAAUCCCCGGGCUCAACCUGGGAACUGCAUUCAAAACUGACAAGCUAGAGUAUGGUAGAGGGUGGUGGAAUUUCCUGUGUAGCGGUGAAAUGCGUAGAUAUAGGAAGGAACACCAGUGGCGAAGGCGACCACCUGGACUGAUACUGACACUGAGGUGCGAAAGCGUGGGGAGCAAACAGGAUUAGAUACCCGCGUAGUCCCUGAGCGGGCUGGCAAGGCGCAU
Molecule: ribosomal RNA, 472 nt
Filed under: uncultured bacterium
Lineage: Bacteria
Description: bacterial SSU rRNA
Rfam family: Bacterial small subunit ribosomal RNA
Source: RNAcentral